GACGAACGCUGGCGGCGUGCUUAACACAUGCAAGUCGAACGGAAAGGCCCUGCUUGCAGGGUACUCGAGUGGCGAACGGGUGAGUAACACGUGGGUGAUCUGCCCUGCACUUCGGGAUAAGCUUGGGAAACUGGGUCUAAUACCGGAUAGGAGCCAUCUUUAGUGUGGUGGUUGGAAAGUUUUUUCGGUGUAGGAUGAGCUCGCGGCCUAUCAGCUUGUUGGUGGGGUAAUGGCCUACCAAGGCGGCGACGGGUAGCCGGCCUGAGAGGGUGUACGGCCACAUUGGGACUGAGAUACGGCCCAGACUCCUACGGGAGGCAGCAGUGGGGAAUAUUGCACAAUGGGCGCAAGCCUGAUGCAGCGACGCCGCGUGGGGGAUGAAGGCCUUCGGGUUGUAAACUCCUUUCGCUAGGGACGUAGCUUUUUUGUGACGGUACCUAGAUAAGAAGCACCGGCUAACUACGUG
RNAcentral lists this ribosomal RNA (466 nucleotides) under uncultured bacterium. Its description in RNAcentral is "partial 16S ribosomal RNA". It matches the Rfam family "Bacterial small subunit ribosomal RNA", at positions 28 to 507 of the family's 1533-position model. The record is from RNAcentral.